AGCAGCCGCGGUAAUUCCAGCUCCAAUAACGUAUAUUAAAGUUGUUGCAGUUAAAAAGCUCGUAGUUGAAUUUCGGGAUCAAUACGUCGGUCGUGCUUAGGUACGUACUGGCGUAAUUGAUUUCUCCUUUCUGACGAACCAUGAUGUCAUUAACUUGGUGUCAUGGGAAAUCAGGACUGUUACUUUGAAAAAAUUAGAGUGUUUAAAGCAGGCUCACGCUUGAAUACAUUAGCAUGGAAUAAUGAAAUAGGACGUUCGAUCCUAUUUUGUUGGUUUUAGGAUCAACGUAAUGAUUAAUAGGGAUAGUUGGGGGCAUUAGUAUUCAAUUGUCAGAGGUGAAAUUCUUGGAUUUAUUGAAGACUAACUACUGCGAAAGCAUUUGCCAAGGAUGUUUUCAUUAAUCAAGAACGAAAGUUAGGGGAUCGAAGACGAUCAGAUACCGUCGUAGUCUUAACCAUAAACUAUGCCGACUAGGGAUCGGAUGAUGUUAAUUUUUUAAUGACUCAUUCGGCGCCUUAAC
This 520-nucleotide ribosomal RNA is filed under the name uncultured Glomus. RNAcentral's name for it is "SSU rRNA". It matches the Rfam family "Eukaryotic small subunit ribosomal RNA", at positions 569 to 1092 of the family's 1831-position model. The record is from RNAcentral. Lineage: Eukaryota; Fungi; Glomeromycota; Glomeromycetes; Glomerales; Glomeraceae.